AUGAGUUUGAACACUUCCUAUUGCCUUCUCUGUAAUUACCCAUUGGAAGAGAAGAAGCAAAUCUGGGGAGUUGGGAGUCUGACACUUCCUGGGGCUCAUAUUUCUGGGGAAAGGGCCCUGAUGUUCACAGCCACUGGCCCAGCUGUCUUCCUCUGUGCUGUGGGCUGCAGCACAGGCUCUCCCUCUGUGCUCCUGAUGAAUAAAUAACAUCGAUCCUAUACGGAAUUGUGUACUGAGUUCAUAAUAAGCUUACAGACUGCAAUAAUCCCAUCAGUUGAGAAACUCCUAUAUAUGUCUUUAUCUAUACAUGCAUAAAUACCAAUCUCUUAGUCAAAAUCUUAAAAGCCUAUUUGUUCAUUCAUAGACACAUUGCUAAAUAAAUAUACAUACUUAGUAUCCACAUACUAUGCCACAGGAACUGGUAUCCAGACCUCAAAUCAUUGGUAGUGACUUCUCAUUAUUGCCCAAAACAUCACAUCAAAUUUCUAACACAUAUUUUAAGUCUAAAACAGAGUUCCAAAUCCAAAAUUUUGUUUUGGUUUCCACAUAAAUUAAGCAUAGUUGCUAAGGACAUGUGCUUUGGAAUCAGACAGCCCUACGUCCAAAUCUUAGUAGUUUUGUCACUUUGUGCAAGUUAUUAAACUCCUGUAGCCCUCAGAUUUCAGAGCUGUAAUGAAGAUGAUAGUACAUAUCAUAUAAAGUUGAUGUGAGAAUUAAAUUAAAUUAAAUUAAAUACUGUAUAUAUUAAACCCACCAUGUGUAGUACAAGCUAAGUACUCAAAAACUUAUUAACAUAUAGUGGUUAUAAUUCCUCUAUUUGAUGAGCCAAACAUCAAAAAGAAUUAGUUGACUUGGAAACCAUUGAGAAACAAUAGGCUACCAUGUUCCUCUUCUGAUGGAAGUAUAUUUGGAAGGUGAAAGUACACAAAUUCUGUUUUGUAACUAGGUGGUCAAUUUUUUUUUUCCAUCUCUGAUUCAUAUAAUGUUAUCAUGCCUUAUGAUAAGUGUUUCAAUAUUCCCCUCAACUGUACUGUAAGGAAGUAAAUAUAGUAAUUCCAUGAAUAUAAAUACAACCUUAACCUGAAAAGUCAUAUGAACACUCCAACCAAACUCCAGAGGAGCAGCUGAAGGUGAUUUUUUAAAAUUAUAUCUCUGACCAAACCUAAGGGGCAAAUAUGGAUCAAAAUGAUGUAUGAACAGGCCCCAUAACCAUUCCCCAUAAAUAAUUUCCUUGCAGGACUUGGAAAUGACAUUGAUUGAGAAAUGACAUGCUAUUUCUCACAUGAGCUAUUAGCUAAGACAUCUUUUUAACAUUCCUUUUUUUCCACUUCUCUCCCCAGGGCAGCAUUUCAAUAUACAAUGCUAGUCUGGAAUGGGCAUUUGUUCUGAAGGAGAAAUGCCUUUACAAGCAGCUCUUCCUGAACAGCUUCUCCAGUGAUGAAAUAGCUCCCAUGCCUUUGUCCCAGGCAUCUACCCUCCAGUUAGUUUCGUCAGCAUCUGACAGAUGAGAUGUUCUUCAUUUUCCAAUCAUGCCAAUGCUAAACAGGAAGAAAGAAAAAUUAUCUUUAAUUGACCUUCUUACUGGAGAAUUAAAACCACCUUUUGCCUGUAAUAAAAUUCCUUCUAAACACCAAAGGGCAGUGGUGUCAAUUAAAAGUUAAAAACCUCAGGCAGAAAGCAAGUCCACAUCACCACAUGGUUGAAAAGUAUGCUAUCUAAUCAAGCACUGCAGGCCCUGGGGUGAGGAGUCACCCAGAGAGCAAACCUCUGCCCAUGUGAGGAAAAGUCUCAGAUACUAAAUAGAGGAAUCAAAGUCUUUCUGUUUUCAUAAGAUAUCCUGGCCUUAAAAAUGAAAUGCAGAGUUCCUUCUUCACCAGAACCUAAAGAACCCAUUACCCUUGUACUCUGCCUUUCACACAAGUAAUUUUCUUUCCUUAUUUGCAUCCACUCACCCUCACUAGUCCAGGUCUUCUAGCUCGACUUUGAAAAUAAAAUUAAAACGAAGAAAACUAAUAAUCAAGGAGUAGACAUAAAAUAAAUAUAAUUGUCUUAUCUUGCCUUCUUUGUUUUUUACAUUCUAUUGAAGAAUCCUAAGUCCACAUAUAUAUCUUUGCAAAUGCUGUGCAUAGAUCAGUAAUCUUUAUUUUGAAAAUAUAUUGAAAAAGUCUUUGUG
This 2173-nucleotide long non-coding RNA is filed under the name Canis lupus familiaris (dog). RNAcentral describes it as "lncRNA (ENSCAFG00030012334.1)". Lineage: Eukaryota; Metazoa; Chordata; Mammalia; Carnivora; Canidae. The record is from RNAcentral.